RNAcentral lists this ribosomal RNA (229 nucleotides) under uncultured bacterium. Its description in RNAcentral is "partial 16S ribosomal RNA". It matches the Rfam family "Bacterial small subunit ribosomal RNA", at positions 568 to 796 of the family's 1533-position model. The record is from RNAcentral.
UCCGUAGGCGGGCAAUUAAGUCAGAGGUGAAAUCCCACAGCUCAACUGUGGAACUGCCUUUGAUACUGGUUGUCUUGAGUUAUAGUGAAGUAGAUAGAAUAUGUAGUGUAGCGGUGAAAUGCAUAGAUAUUACAUAGAAUACCGAUUGCGAAGGCAGUCUACUAACUGUCGACUGACGCUAAGGGACGAAAGCGUGGGGAGCGAACAGGAUUAGAUACCCUGGUAGUCC